AUGGGGAUCAUCGUGUCCUUGUUAAGCUACGCCAACGACGCGAGCAUAGUCAAACACCACAUGCUCAACGGCGGGUGCCCCCAGGAGUUCGCCGUAGCGGUGAGCCAGUGCCACCCCGACAUAGCCAAGCCCGUCGUCGACGCCGAGGCAUGCGCCAGGGCCACGGCUGCGCUGCGCAAGUGCUUCGGCCGCAACCACCGGUGGUUUGAGCACCAAUACAUCCCCCGCUUGGACCACGGCCUCGACGAGGACGUCAAGCCGUCGCCGGAGCAGGUGGAGAAGGAGAAUGAACGGAGUUGGAGGUGGUGGACUGGCAUGAGGAGAAGCUAG
This 330-nucleotide ribosomal RNA is filed under the name Triticum aestivum (bread wheat). RNAcentral describes it as "partial small subunit ribosomal RNA". The record is from RNAcentral. Lineage: Eukaryota; Viridiplantae; Streptophyta; Magnoliopsida; Poales; Poaceae.